This 253-nucleotide ribosomal RNA is filed under the name uncultured bacterium. RNAcentral describes it as "partial 16S ribosomal RNA". It matches the Rfam family "Bacterial small subunit ribosomal RNA", at positions 524 to 776 of the family's 1533-position model. The record is from RNAcentral.
UACGUAGGGGGCAAGCGUUGUCCGGAAUCAUUGGGCGUAAAGCGCGUGUAGGUGGCUUGGUAAGCGAGUAGUGAAAUGACGAGGCUCAACCUCGUGUCCAUUGCUUGAACUGCUAAGCUAGAGCAUGAGAGAGGUGGCUGGAAUUCCCUGUGUAGGAGUGAAAUCCGUAGAUAUAGGGAGGAACACCGAUGGCGUAGGCAGGCCACUGGCUCAUUGCUGACGCUCAGGCACGAAAGCGUGGGGAGCGACCGGG